GAGGGCCCCGCACAAGCAGCGGAGCGUGUGGUUUAAUUCGAUGUUACACGAAGAACCUUACCAGGGUUUGACAUGCAAGUGGUAGGAAGCCGAAAGGUGACCGACCCUUCGGGGAGCUUGCACAGGUGCUGCAUGGCUGUCGUCAGCCCGUGUCGUGAGAUGUUGGGUUAAGUCCCGCAACGAGCGCAACCCUUAUCAUUAGUUGCUACGCAAGGGCACUCUAAUGAGACUGCCGGUGACAAACCGGAGGAAGUGGGGAUGACGUCAAGUCCUCAUGGCCCUUAUGGGUAGGGCUUCACACGUCAUACAAUGGUCGGUACAGAGGGUUGCCAAGCCGCGAGGCGGAGCCAAUCCCACAAAGCCGAUCGUAGUCCGGAUUGUUCUCUGCAACUCGAGAGCAUGAAGUCGGAAUCGCUAGUAAUCGCAGGUCAGCAUACUGCGGUGAAUACGUUCCCGGGUCUU
RNAcentral lists this ribosomal RNA (462 nucleotides) under uncultured Thiobacillus sp. Its description in RNAcentral is "bacterial SSU rRNA". It matches the Rfam family "Bacterial small subunit ribosomal RNA", at positions 915 to 1382 of the family's 1533-position model. Lineage: Bacteria; Pseudomonadati; Pseudomonadota; Betaproteobacteria; Nitrosomonadales; Thiobacillaceae. The record is from RNAcentral.